RNAcentral lists this ribosomal RNA (433 nucleotides) under uncultured bacterium. RNAcentral's name for it is "partial 16S ribosomal RNA". It matches the Rfam family "Bacterial small subunit ribosomal RNA", at positions 29 to 507 of the family's 1533-position model. The record is from RNAcentral.
AACGAACGCUGGCGGCAUGCCUAACACAUGCAAGUCGAACGAGACCAUCGGGACCAGGGGCGCAUGGGGGCGUAACGCGUGGGAAGCUGCCCUCAUGUUCGGAAUAACUCCCCGAAAGGGGUGCUAACACCGGAUAAUGUCUUCGGACCGAAGAUUUAUCGCCUUUGGAUGGGCCCGCGUUGGAUUAGCUAGUUGGUAGGGUAAAAGCCUCCCAAGGCGACGAUCCAUAGCUGGUUUGAGAGGAUGAGCACCCACACUGGGACUGAGAAACGGCCCCGACUCCUACGGGAGGCCGCAGUGGGGUAUAUUGGACAACGGGCGAAAGCCUGAUCCAGCAAGGCCGCGUAAGUGAUGAAGGCCUUAGGGUUGUAAAGCUCUUUUAACCGGGAUGAUAAUGACGGUACCGAGAGAAUAAGCUCCGGCUAACUACGUG